UAUAAUUAUUUUCAAUUUAAAUAUAGUUAUUAGCAAGGUUUAGUCCCACAUCGUAAUUAAUUUCAAUGUAACAUCCCUUUAUCAAUCCGUCGAUCGGCGACACUGUUGUCUCUUCGGAGACAUCCGAUAAAAUUGGAACGAUACAGAGAAGAUUAGCAUGGCCCCUGCGCAAGGAUGACACGCACAAAUCGAGAAAUGGUCCAAAUUUUUUUUCCGAUUCGCGUUCUCUUGUUCUCCAUUUGAUUUCCUAUCCUUUUGCUCUUCUCUGAUUUGAUUUCCCAGCCUCCCCUCUUCUGAUUCGGUUUUUGUUUUUGGUUUCUUUCUUAUUGGCUGGUUCUUUAUGAUUUAGGGUUUUGUGCUCCGUUUUUUCCCAUUCGUGUCCUAUUCCGACUCGCUUUCAUUUUUUGUUUCUUAUUGGCUGUUAAUCUGGUUCUUUAGGAUUUAGGGUUCUGUGCUCCUUUUUCUCCCAUUUGUGUUCUUAUUUUGGUUUGUUUUCCAUUUCUUUUUCUUUUUUUCUGCUGAAUUUUUUUCUCGCUCUCAGUACUGUUUUGUCUCCUUUGUGGUUUUUAAUCAAGUUCUCGUUUCUAUUUCUCUCUCUCGAUUUGUUUUGAUUCUUCUCCGGUUCUGGAAACCAGAGGACAUGGAUGGAUGGACUUCUGAGUUCGCUUCGCUUUAGAUCACAGCACCAUUCUUUACUCGCAUAAUGAGCAACGUUAUCAGUUACGGCGCCGGCUGAAUUGUUUUUUAUGUUAUCGACGGAUACUCUACUCUUCUUCUUGACUUGUUCGACUUGCGCACUCCCAUGAAUACUUGCUUCUGGUCGAAGACGGCGUUAUGUGUUGAUGGUAUUCGGACCUCUGAUUAACAUUGAGUUGAUGUUGUUGUAUCCAGGGUCCAUGAUUUGAUCACAUAGCCAGAAGAGCCUCUCAUCUUAUAUGUAUGAAAUGCCAGCACACUUGUACCGACCAUGCAGUGUCAUGCGUGUCGAAGAGCACUAAUUGCAUCAUUUGAUGCUGAAAUUACACUCAAUAUUGGUUGCGGAACAUACGAGGCAAAACUCUGUGCUACAGCAUAUCGAUUGUUAUUACUGUCAAGUGAUUGGCAUGUAUUCAUAUUUUUCCAAAAGAAAUUAUUGUGUUUCAUAUUUUGAAUCUUCCAAAUAAAUUUACGAGGUUUAUCCAUAGUAUAACAA
Long non-coding RNA from Musa acuminata AAA Group (dessert banana), 1192 nucleotides. RefSeq lists it as uncharacterized. The record is from RefSeq and is a predicted model, not a curated record. Lineage: Eukaryota; Viridiplantae; Streptophyta; Magnoliopsida; Zingiberales; Musaceae. The transcript is spliced from 2 exons.